GCCUUUGAUGUUCACAUCUUCCGGUAGUCCUGUCGCAGAUGACUUUCGCCCAUUUAUAGAACCACACUUUCUUUAAUUUGAAUUCUAUGUGGUAGGACGAGAGUCAUCUGUGACAGGAUAAUGGAAGAUCGAGUUAUCAAAGGC
Solanum lycopersicum (tomato) is the source of this 144-nucleotide non-coding RNA. RefSeq annotates it as microRNA MIR1919c. NCBI's taxonomy places the organism in Eukaryota, Viridiplantae, Streptophyta, Magnoliopsida, Solanales, Solanaceae. The record is from RefSeq and is marked provisional.